UGGGGAAUAUUGGACAAUGGGCGCAAGCCUGAUCCAGCCAUGCCGCGUGAGUGACGAAGGCCUUAGGGUUGUAAAGCUCUUUCGGCGGGGAAGAUAAUGACGGUACCCGCAGAAGAAGCCCCGGCUAACUCUGUGCCAGCAGCCGCGGUAAUACAGAGGGGGCAAGCGUUGUUCGGAAUCACUGGGCGUAAAGCGCACGUAGGUGGAUAGUUAAGUUCGGGGUGAAAUCCCAGGGCUCAACCCUGGAACUGCCUCGGAUACUGGCUAUCUCGAGUCCGGAAGAGGUGAGUGGAAUUCCUAGUGUAGAGGUGAAAUUCGUAGAUAUUAGGAAGAACACCGGUGGCGAAGGCGGCUCACUGGUCCGGUACUGACACUGAGGUGCGAAAGCGUGGGGAGCAAACAGGAUUAGAUACCCAAGUAGUCCCUGAGCGGGCUGGCAAGGCGCAU
RNAcentral lists this ribosomal RNA (447 nucleotides) under uncultured bacterium. Its description in RNAcentral is "bacterial SSU rRNA". It matches the Rfam family "Bacterial small subunit ribosomal RNA", at positions 355 to 825 of the family's 1533-position model. The record is from RNAcentral.